Phyllostomus discolor (pale spear-nosed bat) is the source of this 102-nucleotide small nuclear RNA. Lineage: Eukaryota; Metazoa; Chordata; Mammalia; Chiroptera; Phyllostomidae. The record is from RefSeq and is a predicted model, not a curated record.
CGUUUCCACAAAACAUACUACUAAAAUUGGAAUGACAACAGAAGACUAUCACAGCCCCUGUGUAAGGUUGAUACAUGCAUUCAAGAAAUACUCCAGACUUUC